CAUGACAGGAUAACGACGUUGCAUAUCCUCUGCACUUCUUUUGUAUCUUGAUAUUUGCCCAUGUCUAUGAUGUUUAUUGUGAUGGAGAUGACGAUGACAAAGACAUGUUGAUUCAAGUUCUUUGCUUGCAUUUGCAUAUUUGCAUACAUGAUGAUCGUGAAAGAAAGAGUUCCCUACCUUGGGUAGGCACAUUGAGACCUCCAUUGUUGGGUUGCGACCUACUGUGGAGGCAACCUCCACAAGUUGGAGUGAGUGGAUGUCGACGGGCGUCCACUCAAGCGAUACCGGUAAAUCCUGAGGACGACAUGCAUGGGAGUCUUGGGAGUAGCAUCUUCACCGUUUUCACUUCACGAAACUCACACCUAUUGUCCUUUAGGACGGUGUUUUGAGAACCUAGUAUAGUUGUACUUUACUACCUGUGGUGGUUCAUCUUGAAUUGGAGAGAUACCCUCUUGGUCUGUAUGGCUUAGCUAAUUUCCCCUUAAGACUAACGCUAUCGCCUAAAGUUACCGAGGAUGUUCUCGGUUAUGGUAUUGUAGCCUUGUGCUUUACACCGGUGCUAGUUCUUUGCGAUAUAUAUACUAUAUGAAUUGCAUGU
Molecule: long non-coding RNA, 598 nt
Organism: Triticum dicoccoides
Lineage: Eukaryota; Viridiplantae; Streptophyta; Magnoliopsida; Poales; Poaceae
Exons: 2
Source: RefSeq, a predicted model, not a curated record